Equus caballus (horse) is the source of this 5968-nucleotide non-coding RNA. NCBI's taxonomy places the organism in Eukaryota, Metazoa, Chordata, Mammalia, Perissodactyla, Equidae. The record is from RefSeq and is a predicted model, not a curated record.
UUACACGAGGUGCACUUGGUGCGUGGAAGCCUGUGGAGAAAGUUUGAGUACUGUCAUGAGCCUGUUUUUAAUGCUAGAAUUAUGUAAUAUCUCUUAUCCAGGUUAAAAUGAGAAACUCCCCCAUUUUUGUAAUUUUUGACGUAAGGAUAUUUGGGCUGACACUGCACUUUAGACCGAGAGCCAGGAAAGUUAUCAGCAUGGUGGAAGUCAAGCUGUAGAACCCCAGAGAUCAGACACGACAUAAAAAUGGUCUUUUGAUCCAUUAAGGUGAAGAAAAUAAUUAAAUUUCUGCAUGUUCCUUCCAGUAAAAUAAUUAUUCAGGAGAAAAAGUGGUCAGACAAAGAAUCAUUCCACAAGGAGAAAUAUCAUAAAAUGCAAAGUAUUUUCUUAUUACUUUUUUACUACCUUUUUCGUAGGCGUUCACGGGAGGAAAAGGAAAAAAUUUCUACAGAGGCUUAAGAGAACCUUUCCAUGAGGGCUGAUCCCAAAUACCUAAGACAGAAUAGAGGCUUUUGAAAGGAACUUUUAAAAAUAACGGGAUACGCUGAAAAUAAUAUUUAACCCAGUGACUGCGCAUCAAAGUGAGAAGAUUAUAUGCUAGAAUGGCACAUGGCGUGCAUUCCACGGUCCGCAUAGCUGAUUGCCAUGCAGUGCCUUGGGAGCAAGCUCCAUGCUUUCAAUGCCAUUGUAUGAUGAGGAUCCAUCAAAUCUACUCAAGCAGAGGCGUGAUCAGAUCUAUGCUGCUGGAAUAUUCACAGGAGCUGCAGAGGAAACGACGGGAAUAAACGGAAGAGUUGGGGGUAAUGGAGGUAGACAGACCCAGCUAGGAUCUCACCGUUUAUCUGAAGAUUUGAGAACUUACUAAGAUGUAAAAGCAUAUGUAUAAGCUCUGGCUCCUAAUAGAUGACUCAGCAGAAGUUUGUUGAAUUCCUUUCACCUUCUCUCCCUUCUCCUUCCAAUUGUGUUUAACCUCAGAGUGGCAGCUGAGUGGGAGCGAAUCCUUUGUUGGAAUUUUGCGGAUGAGGAAUUUAGGCAUGAAAAGAAAAACAGCUAGCCCAAGUUCCAGCCACUAGUAAGUGGCAGGGAUGGAAUUUGAACCCAGACAUUCGGACUCCAGAGGUUGGGUGUGUGAUCAGCACACUAAGCCCCCUCUCACUGCCUGGGAGCUUUGUUGUAAGGAUUAAAUGAGAGGACGUGUGUCUCUUGCUGAGAUGAUAACGUGGUUAACCCUUUGAUGAUGCCUUACUCCUCUCCCAAUAUCUGUCCUCCUGGUCUGUGGCCUUAACCUGGUCACUUCCCAUUUUUCAGAGUCUCACCUUGGCCCUUGCAGCUCUGUAUUUAUCCUCAUCCCAAGGCUACAACUCUUUCCUACAGUCUUCAGAUUUUCUAAUCCCAGGCCCCACACAUACACUCCAGUGCCUUCUCACAAAAUACGCUUCCCGUGGCCUUUGUGAAAUAAUGGAACCUCUUCAUACCUGGUGCUUUUGCUUCAUUAAGUACCAAAAGUGGGAUGCCGAGGAGCUCCUUUUGACCAGAGAUCUUGUGUGUUACAGAGACAUUGAUCAAUGUUGCUGAGAUGCUGCUCUACCUAAAAUAUUUGCACCCAAAGUUCUGAGCUGCUUGACCCAGGAGAGUCCAGUCCAUUGGCUGGCCAGAGAACAAUUCAAUUUUCUUUCUCUCUCUCACUUCAACUUAAACUCAGAGACUCAGGGACUGAGAUGCUGGAACUUGGAAAUCAGGUGGAGGAGGAGCCUGGGCUCUGCUCAUGGACCCAUGAGAGCUGGACCAGAGAGGGAAGAGCUGAGGGACUGUGCAGCCCUUAACCUUGAGUCCUGACUUUCAUUUACAUGGGACCUUUGGCUAUACUUUCUGCCCUUGGGGUCUAUGAGAUAUGCCCUGUCUGCUUCCAUAAGCUCUCCUUUGGGGUUUGUGUCAUUUUCAAAAUGGAUUUCUGUUUCUUAAAAUCAAAUAUUCCCCGAGUCUGCUCUAGAACCAUGGAUGGUGCUCUCAUGUAUGAGUUUUAUGUGCUCUCAAUAAACCCCAUCAGAGCCGGAUUUUUAAAAAGUGUCAGGGGAAGUGAUCAAACCCCUGCUGAGAUGGCACUGAAAGUAGAUUUCUUUGCUCAUAGCUUAUAAUGAUGUAAAACAGGCUGUUUCCGCUGCCUCCUAUUUUUUUUAACCUUCCAGAUAGUUCAUGCCACAGGUCUCUACAAAGCAUUUCUCUACUUCUAACUGGCUUAAAAUAUUUGGUCAGCCAUGGUCUAACCAGGUUGCUAAGUAUGAGAACUAGUUGUAACAGCUAAUUUUAUAAGCCCUAAGAAUAAUGGUGCUGGAGAAUAUUCAUGCAGAGUAUGGGCUACCAAUCAAUUUUAGGAUUCAGGUACUGCAUCUGUUUGUAAUUGCGCUAAGUCUGCGUGUGCACACACACACGCAUGCACAGCCGGAUUCCACAACACAAAAGACAGCACUUGACUUUUGAAAAUACGUCUUUUUUGAUUUUGACAGUGAGCUAUGCCAGGUGGUCAAUUUGAAUGACCAUUAAUCAGAGUAAUGGUGUGUCAAAGGAGGCAGGAAUCAUUAGGAAGGUAUUGUCUCUGGAGGGUUUUGCAAUUUUCCAAAAUUAUUUUUAUCUAAAGAGACUUAUGAGGCUCCACAGUGACAUAUGUGUCCUAUUUACUCCAUCAGAACCAGAGUGGCCUAGCACAGAUGCACCAAUGAGAGAAGUGCUAGAUCAGGCUGGAGACGGCUGCCUUCUGAGGGGUCAGGGCAGACUGCAACAAGGGGUCAGCACAAGGACAUCAUCUUAUCCAAAGGAUGCAUGUGUGAGGUAGGGGUACCCCAGGGGAGCGAAGGUCCUGCCUAUUGCCAGGUCUCUGGAGACUGGCAUCACCAGGGGGUGAUGGGCAGGCUAGCCACGUGCUGCAAAGGCACAGUGACUGGCGGUGGGAUGGGUCUGCGUCCUCAAAAAGGGGAGGCUUUCUGUCACAGAAAAAUACUCAAUUUUAAAGGGACAUAGUUUAGCUAGUCACCCUUGGAUAUCUGAACAUUGAGAUUAAACUGUAAAACUGUCAUAAAAGGAAGCAUGAAGAUUAAUAGAUAAAAUUCUUUAGCACUUUAAUUUUGUAGAAUUCAAAAUAUAAGAAAAUGAAUUUCCUGGCCUCUUGCCAAAGCAGAUAUAAAUAAGUAGCGAUCGAGACUCUAAUUUCCUGAGGAUCUUAAUAAAGAGAAAUAUUUAUGGUUUAAAAUUACCUCUGAAAUUAUGCUGCAAAGAAUAGUUAGUUUAUGACUUCAGAGAACAAAAAGAAACUUGCAAAUACUUGAUGUUGGCAGAUCAAUUAAGUGGUAAUACAUGCUACAUUAUAAUUUUAAUCACCAUGAAAUUAAAAUAUGAUAAUGAGUGUUAACAUGACUUUAUCCUUUCAAACUAUGAUUUAAUUUAUGGAACUUUUCUUGACUACUUCCUUAUUUCCUUGGUUAUUUUUUCUUAUUCAGUGUGCUACUUUAGAUUACGCACUUUCCAAUGCAUAUUAUUCAAGACAGCCACCAAUUAAUGAGUUCUUCCCUUAUCAAUUAAGGAUCUUGUAGGCUGUUCUUGCUCAUUUUAAUCUAGUUCUUUCUGCAUCCCUACAUAAAAUUCAUGGAGAAUGAAAAUAACCCUUCUUCUUUUAAAGGUCUUUUUGUUUUUCAAGGUGUUUAGUUUUUCCAGGGAUACACAGAUAACCCAAACGUGAGAUUGCGCUCUUCAAAGGCAGCCUUCCUCUAACAUAUUUGGGGAAAGGGGAGGAGUUUGUUUUAGGCAUCCAUGUAGCAGCUAUAUGGACCUGGCGCGCUUCUCCUCUCCCAUCUCUGUUGGUGUUCCGGGUCCUUUCCAUGCUAUGAAACCUCCAUCCCACACUGGCCUCCGCGGAUGGAUGGUGUUGCAAGGACCGCUUUUCCCUUUACUGCUCAAACCUCUAAUUCCCAACACCUCACUUUCAAAGCUUCAAGCUGGGACGUCCAAAAGUUGUCUCAAUAAAGGAGAGGGAAAUGUUUAAUAGUACACCAAAAGUGACUCAGGCUGUCUAUGGGAAAUGAACAACAAAAAAGGAUAAACUCUUCACAGAAGAUCCCACUAUGUCUCUCCAAGGCAUCAGUUUACUCCUUGCAUCUUGAUGUUAGCCCUCCUCUCUGCCCCUCCAGAUUACCCCUCUUCUUCUUCUGUCCCCUGCAUGUAAAACUGCACCCCUCCUCCACAGUGAGGGAAAGCUCACUCCCUACCCAUAGCUGUUGGUCUAACCCUAGAAGCCAUUUAUUCCACCCAAUCAGGCAAUUCCAGGGUCUCCAUAACCCCAUUUCCCAAACGCAGAUUUUUUUUUUAGAAUCUGCUUUAUUCAGCCAAAAACAUCAUGAAGGGGGCAGGGUGGGUUAAGAGUGGGGUGCUGAAGCAAGACAGUCUUGGGUAGGUUUCUGCACUGAAACCAACAUAAUUUCCUGUCCCAGCAGUAAAUGAUGCUGCGACCAGGCACACUUUCCUAUGCCUGAUAAACAAUACCGAGAGUAAGCAAACACAACUGAGUUGCUUGCUCCAGGAAACACCAACUCCUGCAAGGGAGGCUGUGAGCCAACUAAACAGUUAAAUUAUCAAAACUAAGAGCAUGCUCAUCAAAACUCACUUCAAAACCCUAACCUCACUGCACUCACCAAUCUAAAGCUAUUCUGCCAGAAACUCUACCUAAGUCAAUUCUAAUGACUUCCUUGCCUUGCAAGAUUUGUCCCUGUCCAGGUCCUUGUUAUGUGCUUCAGCGACUCCGUGUCAGCUAGAGGAUAAAGUGAAAACUUUUGUAAGGUAAUCCUGGUUUAUCUGUCCAGCCUCAUCUCCAUCACUCCAACAUUGAACUUUAUUCCAGAACCCUGACGAAUUUGUAACCACCCUCAACACACACGUGCAUACCAAGAUGUUUCACGUCUCUGUGCCUUCAUUCAUUUCUCUCAUUUUGCAUACCCUCCUCCUCUCUCCCUUGUUGCCUUGCGUAAGUUCUCCUCAACUUUCACUAGUCUGAGGCCUCUCUUCAGGAAGCCUUCGCUGAGCCUCAGGCAACAUUAGGUGGCCACCCUUUCUCUUUUCUCAGAGCCCCUGUGGUCUUACACAUUGCAUUGGGCUGGUCCUGGCCUCUCAGCAGAGCUCCACGAGAACAGAAACUGUCAUAUGAGACCUGAAGAUCUCCAUACCCAGGAGUUCCAGAUACACGGGAAUGCUCAGUUGGUGUGUGGUGAACUGAACUGGACUGGAUUUCGCCAUCGUGGUACUGCUUUUGGAAUCCUUUUGGCAAUCUUCUACAACUUUUCAAACUGGGGCAGCUUGCUUAGAAUCCUGACUUCUUUCCAUCAACCAUUUGCUUGUUUUGCAAAAUGUCAUUAAAACAAAAGAUGCCGUGAGUAUACCCCAACAUCAAGAUUUUACGUCUCUGAGACAAGAUCGUGAGAAGGGAAUUGACUUGAAAAUGAUUAAUAGACUUGAUAUUUAGACUUUCCAGCCUUGGUUUCCAGCUUUUCACCUUGCAUUUAAUUUUGAGAAAGACCAGGCUGUAGCUGCAGCUUCAUCUUACAGCUCGCGUCUCUGCGUUGGACUGACCAGUCCACCAGACUUUCAUCACGCCCAAUAGACCUAGAGAGGAGGCACAAUUAAAAAGAAGCAUUUGAGGAGCAGCUGAACUGGAGUAGAAGAAGGAUUGUUAAUUAAUUUUUCCCCAUCUCACCUCGAACAAUGACAGGCAGUUGGCUUUCUAUCCCCACCCCAGUCAGCCUUGGUGAGGAUGCAGGUGGCCAAGGCUGCACGAAUCGGCGUAUGAGCAGAACAGGAAAUCUAGUAAGCUGGCCAGACUUAAUGCUGCUGAGCUUCUGAUUUGGAGACAUCACUAUAUUGACUUUUUUCUUUUUUUUGAGGAAGAUUAGCCCUGAGCUAACUACUGCCAAUCCUCCUCUUUUUGCUG